UUCAAGAAAAUCGAAAAGGAGCAGUAAAAUAACAAGUAAGAAAAAUAAUCAGGAUUCUUAUCUUCUUGUAUCUACUAUGAAGGUGCAAGCUAGAGAGAAUUACCAGGUUUCAAUUUGAAUGGUAGGUGAAAGAAUGAAUUAAUGGAAAGCUGUAGAAUGAUAUGGGUUGUUGAGGACAAUCUUGUAAUUUCACAUUAAAACUUGAAUCCCCUAAUUGUAAACGCUGCUCUUAGCUGCGUUUCUAGAUUUAGCUGAUUAUUCUCAAUCCGCUAUUCCAAUUCUCUAACAACCAAACACCCCAAUUAGAGGUUUUGAAAGGUCAAACCUCUAAAUUGAUCCAAACCUCUAAUUUUCUCACAAUCCUCUAACAACCAAACAUCCCCUAGUUGUUUCCAUUCACCCCCACCCAUUUUUUGAUUACAAGUUUACAUCUUCUUCGUCCCUUUAAUCUCUGCUCAACUCCCCAGUCCCCUCCCUCCUCAAUAGCUCAUCUCCUCAACUACCAAACUUCUGAAUUUCAAUUCUAAGAUUAUUAGUUCAAUUCUUUUUCAUAAAUUGGUUCCCUCUAUUCUCUUUCACUAUGCUCUCUCUCUCUCUCUCUCUCUAUUAUUGAACAUCGGGCCCCAUUGAAGGUUGAAGGUUGAAGGUUGAAGGUUGGAAGCUUCAACCUGAUAACAACAGGGCAAGGUACAAAACAAGUUAUCCUUCCAAUCAACAACCAUUGCCACUGUGGGUACCUGAUGUCAAAAAUACGAGCUUGUGAUGUUGUUAGUUGUUUUGCCUUGGUGAUAAUGAUGAUGCAUAUGCAGUAGUUAAGAUGCAGUAGUGUUUUUAACUUGAUGCAGAAGAUGCAGUAGUGUUUUUAACUUGAUGCAGAAGAUGCAGAUGCAAAUGUUUGGUGGUGAUGAUGGAUGUUAGGCUUUAAGUAGUGUUUAGGUUGUAAUUAGGGGUAUGAUCAUGAUGAUGAUGUACUAGUAUUUUGGUUGGAUUUUGGCUUAAACUAGCUAGUGUAGUAGGUUGUAAUUCGGGUUGUUGCAGUUUAGGGUUCGUAGUUAUCACGUAAACUUGAGUUACUUUGACAAUUUUUAGCAAGUUGUAAAUUGAGUUACAAAUGAAUGAAUUGAAAAUAGAAGGAUUAUUUUGUAA
Long non-coding RNA from Spinacia oleracea (spinach), 1146 nucleotides. RefSeq lists it as uncharacterized. The record is from RefSeq and is a predicted model, not a curated record. The transcript has 2 exons. NCBI's taxonomy places the organism in Eukaryota, Viridiplantae, Streptophyta, Magnoliopsida, Caryophyllales, Amaranthaceae.